CAACCAUCCAGAGCGGCUGAGAGACCUGGCUCGACGACGCCGCAGCAACCCGGAACCGCAUGCACAUGCCGGGUGCUCACGCCGGGAACGAUGGAGG
RNAcentral lists this non-coding RNA (97 nucleotides) under Nesterenkonia sp. RNAcentral's name for it is "SAM-I sequence". It matches the Rfam family "SAM riboswitch aptamer (S box leader)". Rfam says of the family: The SAM riboswitch is found upstream of a number of genes which code for proteins involved in methionine or cysteine biosynthesis in Gram-positive bacteria. The SAM riboswitch acts at the level of transcription termination control. Lineage: Bacteria; Bacillati; Actinomycetota; Actinomycetes; Micrococcales; Micrococcaceae. The record is from RNAcentral.